ACGGGGUGCAGCAGGCGCGAAACCUCCGCAAUGCGGGAAACCGCGACGGGGGGACCCCCAGUGCCGUGCCUCUGGCACGGCUUUUCCGGAGUGUAAAAAGCUCCGGGAAUAAGGGCUGGGCAAGGCCGGUGGCAGCCGCCGCGGUAAUACCGGCGGCCCGAGUGGUGGCCACUAUUAUUGGGCCUAAAGCGGCCGUAGCCGGGCCCGUAAGUCCCUGGCGAAAUCCCACGGCUCAACCGUGGGGCUCGCUGGGGAUACUGCGGGCCUUGGGACCGGGAGAGGCCGGGGGUACCCCCGGGGUAGGGGUGAAAUCCUAUAAUCCCGGGGGGACCGCCGGUGGCGAAGGCGCCCGGCUGGAACGGGUCCGACGGUGAGGGCCGAAGGCCAGGGGAGCGAACCGGAUUAGAUACCCGGGUAGUCCUGGCUGUAAAGGAUGCGGGCUAGGUGUCGGGCGAGCUUCGAGCUCGCCCGGUGCCGUAGGGAAGCCGUUAAGCCCGCCGCCUGGGGAGUACGGCCGCAAGGCUGAAACUUAAAGGAAUUGGCGGGGGAGCAC
RNAcentral lists this ribosomal RNA (553 nucleotides) under uncultured euryarchaeote. RNAcentral's name for it is "bacterial SSU rRNA". It matches the Rfam family "Archaeal small subunit ribosomal RNA", at positions 325 to 879 of the family's 1478-position model. Lineage: Archaea; Methanobacteriati; Methanobacteriota. The record is from RNAcentral.